CACGUAGGGGGACUAGAGUGGAGAAACACUGAACACAGAAGAAAGAGUGAGGGGGUUUCUGCAUUUGUCCAAUGGAGAAGUAUCAAAGAGCUGAAGGCUGGUGGUAGAGAAUCCUCCCUUGAUGCAGAAAUAAUCAGAGCAGGGCAGCAGAGGACUGAGCCUUGUGCCCAAGAACACCAGUUGGUCAGCAGAACUCGGAGAGGUAGAUCAGCAUCCUGACUCUCCCACAUGGAUAAUAGAUGAAGAAAGUACUAGAAAGCAAGGAGCUGAAAAAGAGCGAUACCUUGAGAGAGCAGACACACAUUGCCAUAGGAGGAGACCUUGAGUUUACCCUGUCCAGGCCUCAACACAGGGGACGAGAAGAAGAAAAAGAACAGUGCUGGAAGUCCUGUGCAGAGUAUCUCACAUGUGCUCCCUGGGCUGGGAUUUGGCCUUUUCCGGUUUCUUCCCCAUUUUCUUCUUCUGGCUAAUGAAGCCUAGAGCAGCAGUUCUCUUCAUAUUCACCUUCAGUCCUCCUGGGAUUGGCCGCAGGUUAAUGGGCACAUAAGGAAGACUGUUAUCUGUUUCAGGACAAUUAAUAUCGUGUUCAUAACAGUCAUGCCCUUAAGAUCACUGGCUCUCAUUUUUCUAUUACCACUUUCGAAAAAAAGAGCUCUAUCGAAUGUACCUAAAGAUGGCUUCUAUCAUUAUCGAAACUUCUGGCACUACUUCCCAUCAAUACAAGUAGUUAUUAAAAGCUUCUGACAUCACUGUUUCAUGGAGAUUAUAUUGGAAAAUAAACUAGGUUUUACUCCUUUAUGGAGAGCUCUUCACACGAGGAUUAACUCAUCAGCCCUUUGGGACUAUAGUGGGGAAUGGGUAAAAUGAGUCCAAAUGAUAAGUAUGACCAUCACACACAGUAUCAAUAUGCUUUUCCUUUCACCUUUCUGGGUACAAGAACUCCACCCUCAUUUACCCAAAAUGUCCAUUAACCUCAGCAGACGUUUGGAUACUAUAAGGAGUAAAAAUAAGAUGCUUCCUGCCCUUUGAGAUAAAAAAAAAAAAAAAACCUGUUGCUAUGAGAGUAGAAUGUUCAGGUUCCAUAGAGCCUCUGUUCCCCUUUUAGGUUAUAAAAAGUUUACUCAGGAUAUUCACUAUGGUGUGGAGGGCAUGCUCUAUCUGGAUUAAAUGAGUGUAAAGAGAAGAUAAGACUUGGGGCAAAUGGAAGAAAGUCCACAGGCCUAGGAAAUCUGUGGGAAGGAGAAGAGGAGAGAAAAAUGGAUGUUUGUCAGAUAGGUAUUUUCUGAUUGUCUUCUCUGUGGUAAAAAGAUGAGAACAUUCCAGAGAGGUGAAGGAAACACUGAAAGCAAAGAAGAGCUCUUCUCUGUCCACGUUAAGACUCCUAGAAAGAUGUCAUCUCUGAAAGAUGUCACUCCGAGAAAGAUGUGAACACCUCCCAGUCACCAAGAUGGGCAGUGGCCACAGCAACUUGGCAAUUCUAAAUGGUCACGUGAAGGAAGUCCCCAAAGGUUAACUUCCUGGUAUCACCCUGGGUUUCAGAGCAACUGAGAAUCUGGCUUGGGAGCUUGUUGUACUGGUUUGACCACAUGACUUCUUACCAGGGGUUACUGAACAAACUGCAGGGCUCGAGGUCAGCUGAGUUAGACCCUCCGAGGUCUAUACAGAAGCAGAAGCUAGCAUGAGCCUCGUUUGUCAGAGAGCGUUUUCAGCCCUGGUCACACUGAAAAAGACCAGCUCAUGAAUCUUACUUCAGCUGCAAAUGACAAGAGGACAGUGUAUAGAGCUAGAAGACAGACAUUGUCCUUGAGGUCAAAAUGAUGUAACACUGAGCCUGAGGCCCUGGCCCAUCCCUACUUAAGGUUAUGUGCUUGGCACCUCUUUCUCCCUAUUUUCAGACACAAACUUAGGGAAAGAGCAUUUGUAUGACUAUUUUAUGACACUUAAUGGACUGUGUAAAUUUGACUAAUAUUGAUACCAGAUGGUUCAUUUAUUCUUAUGAUUGUUUGACUUUUUUUUUUUUUUAAGAUGGAGAACGGUGUAAGGGCCUUAAUGUUAAGUUGUAUGUUUCAUUCAUUUUUGUGUCUCUCCUAGUAACUGACCGAUGAUGUUACAUGUAAAGGAAGUUCAAAAAAAUGCCCUUUAAGCAAAUAAUUCAUGAAGAGUUAUUUUUACAUUUCAGUGGUUCACAAAAUUCUAGAGAGCAGCUCAUGGCAUCUUAAAGUUUAUCUCCUUAUUUCCAUGCUUCCCUAAUGCAGUGCUCUAGGAGUAAAUCACCUUGAGUCAGAAGAAGCCCCAUCUAUACGGCUUCUUCUAAACUUGAAGAAUUUUCCUGUUUCCCAGUCAUUUUUGAGUUGGAAGGAGAGAAUCACAUCUAGUUUGUGAAACCCUAGCUAGAAGGGAUUUUUAGUCAACACACGAAGGUUCACAGAGGUUGUUUCUUCCAAGAAUAAUCUCCCAGGGCCCCAUUCAACAAUAAAUAUUGCCCAACUUCCCCACGCAGAAGUCAGCGUAAGGCUGCAAACACUAAGGAAAUUGCCUCUGCAUCCAGCCAGCUGAUUUGGCAGACCAAGGGCCAAUGCACAAAGAAGGUCUGUCUCUGUUUGUUUUCCUCAUACUUUUCCUCCUUUCUGAGCAGUAAGCCAUGGAGAGCUAUGGCAACGCCUGGGAAGAAUGUGUUAGAGACUCCCUCUUCCCGCAGACCCCGCUAAUUACAAAGAACCAAAGUUUUUGCUCAAAUUGACUGGGUAGUUAUGAUUCUGACCACUGGACAUACUGCAAACAGGGACUUCUAUAAACCUCACCCUAAAAAAGUCUUGGGAGGAAGGCUUCAGUUUUCAGUCACUUUGUUUCCUUUUCAGGCUCUUUCUCCUAGGAAAAUGAAAAUAAAGACAAUACCAUUUUAUGACUCAUUGGCCUUGUUACCCAGUAGAACACACAGGGACAUUUUUCUAGUGUCGUAGAAAGAGCACCAAAAUAACAAGGAGUUUGUUAUCUUAAAAGGACAAAAGACAAGGAUUUAAGAGAUGUAGCUUAUUAAUUCUAGUAUGAAAAAAGCCACUGGAUCUCUCCAUGACAUGGGCCAAGUCCCUUUACUUGUAUGGGUCUGAAUUUCCAUUGUCAAAAAAAUGAGCCCUUAUACUUGUGUUUGAAAUUCAGUCAUACAGAAUACUUUUAAAAUUAUUAACUAGAGGGGCACCUGGGUGGCUCAGUCAGUUAAGUGUCUGCCUUUGACUAGGGUCAUGAUCUUAGGGUCCUGGGAUCUGACCCCUUGUCUUUCUCCCUGCUCAGUGGAGAAUAUGCUGCUUCC
This is a long non-coding RNA of Mustela putorius furo (domestic ferret), 3307 nucleotides long. Lineage: Eukaryota; Metazoa; Chordata; Mammalia; Carnivora; Mustelidae. The record is from Ensembl.